GAUGAACGCUGGCGGCGUGCUUAACACAUGCAAGUCGAACGGAAAGGCCCAAGCUUGCUUGGGUACUCGAGUGGCGAACGGGUGAGUAACACGUGGGUGAUCUGCCCUGCACUUCGGGAUAAGCCUGGGAAACUGGGUCUAAUACCGGAUAGGACCACUUCUUGGAUGUUGUGGUGGAAAGUUUUUUCGGUGUGGGAUGAGCUCGCGGCCUAUCAGCUUGUUGGUGGGGUAAUGGCCUACCAAGGCGUCGACGGGUAGCCGGCCUGAGAGGGUGUACGGCCACAUUGGGACUGAGAGACGGCCCAGACUCCUACGGGAGGCAGCAGUGGGGAAUAUUGCACAAUGGGCGCAAGCCUGAUGCAGCGACGCCGCGUGGGGGAUGACGGACUUCGGGUUGUAAACGCCUUUCGCUAGGGACGAAGCGUUUUGUGACGGUACCUGGAGAAGAAGCACCGGCUAACUACGUG
This 467-nucleotide ribosomal RNA is filed under the name uncultured bacterium. RNAcentral's name for it is "partial 16S ribosomal RNA". It matches the Rfam family "Bacterial small subunit ribosomal RNA", at positions 28 to 507 of the family's 1533-position model. The record is from RNAcentral.